RNAcentral lists this ribosomal RNA (117 nucleotides) under Candidatus Zhuqueibacterota bacterium. Lineage: Bacteria; Pseudomonadati. The record is from RNAcentral. RNAcentral also lists the same sequence under 1 other name.
UUCGGUGGUAAUGGCGGUGAGGUCACACCUCUAUCCAUUCCGAACAGAGAAGUUAAGCUCACCAGCGCCGAUGGUACUGCCCUGGAGACGGGGUGGGAGAGUAGGACACUGCCGGAU